CCUACGGGAGGCAGCAGUGAGGAAUAUUGGUCAAUGGGCGGAAGCCUGAACCAGCCAAGUCGCGUGAGGGAUUAAGGCCCUGCGGGUCGUAAACCUCUUUUAUCAGGGGCGAAGCAAGUGACGGUACCUGAUGAAUAAGCCACGGCUAACUACGUGCCAGCAGCCGCGGUAAUACGUAGGUGGCAAGCGUUAUCCGGAUUUACUGGGUGUAAAGGGCGUGUAGGCGGGAAAGCAAGUCAGAUGUGAAAACCAUGGGCUCAACCUGUGGCCUGCAUUUGAUACUGUUUUACUUGAGUACUGGAGAGGCAGACGGAAUUCCUGGUGUAGCGGUGAAAUGCGUAGAUAUUAGGAGGAACACCAGUGGCGAAGGCGGUCUGCUGGACAGCAACUGACGCUGAGGCGCGAAAGCGUGGGGAGCGAACGGGAUUAGAUACCCCAGUAGUC
RNAcentral lists this ribosomal RNA (444 nucleotides) under uncultured bacterium. RNAcentral's name for it is "partial 16S ribosomal RNA". It matches the Rfam family "Bacterial small subunit ribosomal RNA", at positions 338 to 795 of the family's 1533-position model. The record is from RNAcentral.